RNAcentral lists this ribosomal RNA (497 nucleotides) under uncultured bacterium. RNAcentral's name for it is "partial 16S ribosomal RNA". It matches the Rfam family "Bacterial small subunit ribosomal RNA", at positions 30 to 507 of the family's 1533-position model. The record is from RNAcentral.
AUUGAACGCUGGCGGCAUGCCUUACACAUGCAAGUCGAACGGCAGCACGGGUGCUUCACCUGGCUGCUGUUGGCGGCGGGGGGGGGAAUAACACGGGAAUAGUCCUGCUGUGGGGGUUAGACCAGUUAAAGCCGGAUUAGUUACUCCUGCGUGAUAUGGUGAACAGCGGGGGGCCUAAGGGCCAGGCGCUCUUGGGGUCGCUGAUAGCUGGAUCGGUGGUGGAUUAGCUAGUUGGUGAGGUAAGGGCUUACCAAGGCGACGAUUAGUAGCUGGCCUGAGAGGACGACCAGCCACACUGGGACUGAGACACGGCCCAGACUCCUACGGGAGGCAGCAGUGGGGAAUUUUGGACAAUGGGCGAAAGCCUGAUCCAGCAAUGCCGCGUGUGUGAAGAAGGCCUUCGGGUUGUAAAGCACUUUUGUCCGGAAAGAAAUCCUUGGCCCUAAUACGGUCGGGGGAUGACGGUACCGGAAGAAUAAGCACCGGCUAACUACGUG